This 54-nucleotide transfer RNA is filed under the name Neofoleyellides sp. XM-2022. Its description in RNAcentral is "tRNA-Arg". The record is from RNAcentral. Lineage: Eukaryota; Metazoa; Nematoda; Chromadorea; Rhabditida; Onchocercidae.
AAAUAUUAAGUAGAUUUUCUACAUCUAAUUACGGUUUAGGAGGAUUAUUAUUUU